AGAGAUCAGGUUCGAAGGGGUAGUACUUUACUCUCGACCAUUGCUUCCUCUUCUCAUAUGAGGGUGGUCCAUGUGAGUCCCACCAUUAAGCCCACCUUCAUGGGAGAAAAAAGACUCCCAACUAUCUAAUAAUUUUCCGGUUCAAGUCCCUUUAACUUUAUGUACCCCAAAAUUAAAUUUGCGUCAAAAAGUCAAGAACACUACAGUCUGCACUAGUCAGAACCAUGGAAGAUCACAACGACGACGCCAUUUCCAGUUCCGAAGCUUCGAGGCUCCGGUGGCACGUGUUCUUGAGCUUCAGAGGCGAAGACACACGCUACCCCUUCAUAAACAACCUCAACACCUCGCUCCACAACAAAGGCAUACGAGCUUUUCGCGACGACGAUGGGUUGCGCCGCGGAGACGAGAUCGCUCCGACUCUACUCGACGCGAUAGAGGAGUCCGCGGCUUCCAUCGUCGUCAUCUCCCAAAACUACGCGUCGUCGAGGUGGUGCCUAGAGGAGCUUUCGAAGAUAUGCGAGUGUAAGAGGCUUAUUCUCCCUGUGUUCUACCUAGUCGACCCCUCGGAUGUUCGGAAACAAAGAGGACCCUUCUUCGGAAAACAUUUUAGGGAGCAUGAAGAGAAGGGAAUUGAGAAGGAAAAGGUGACGAAGUGGAGGGAAGCCAUGGAAACAGCUGGUGGAAAAGCUGGUUUUGUUUUCCAAGACAAAGACAAAGACAGCAAUGAGGCACAAGCAAAGUUGAUUCAACUUUUAGUCAAAAGGGUAUUGGAAGAACUAGACAGUACCCCACUGGAUGUGGCUCCAUAUACAGUAGGACUCGAUUCUCGUAUUGAAAAACUGAAGAGCUUGUUAGAUGUUAGAUCCAAUGGCGUUCGAGUUUUGGCAUUACAUGGGAUGGGUGGGGUUGGUAAGACCACACUUGCUAAAGCUCUUUACAAUAAACUUGUUGGUAGCUUUGAGUGCCUCGUUUUCAUGAAAAAUGAUAGAGAAAAUUCUGAAACAGAUGAUGAUUUAGUGUACCUUCAAAACAAACUUGUCAAUCAUCUUUCUCCUGGUAAGCCUCCUGUGUAUAGGAUUGAUUCUGGUAUCUCUGCAAUCAAAGCCAUGGUUCAUGAGAAGCAAGUUCUUGUUAUUUUGGAUGAUAUUCGCAAUGUAAGACAGCUUGAAGUGCUAGUCGGGAGAGAUUGGUUUUCUGAAGGGAGUAGAAUUAUUAUUACCACAAGAGACAGUGAAGUUUUACCCAAGCAUCUUGUGAAUGAGUUUUAUGAGGUCAUAGAGUUGGCCCCCGCUGAGGCGCUACAACUUUUUAGCUACCAUGCACUAAGAAGAGAGAAACCCACAGAAAGAUUUAUGAAUCUAUCCAAGAAAAUGGUCUCUCUUACAGGAGGUCUACCAUUGGCCCUGGAAGUAUUUGGUUCUUUUUUGUUUGAAAGGUGGAGAAUAGAGGAAUGGAAGGAUGCUUUGCAAAAAUUGGAAAGGAUUCGUCCUCGCAAUCUUCAGGAUGUAUUGAAGAUAAGUUAUGAUGGGUUAGAUGUACAAGAACAAUGUAUAUUCCUUGACCUUGCAUGUUUAUUCAUUAAAAAGGAAAUUGAGAGAGAGGAUAUACUUGAUGCAUUGAAAGGUUGCGGUUUUAGGGCUGAGAUAGCAAUUACAGUGCUCAGAGCAAGAUCACUUAUUAAGGUUUUUGAGGACAAUUCUUUGUGGAUGCACGAUCAGAUUAGAGACAUGGGAAGACAAAUUGUUCUAGAUGAAAGUCCUGUAUAUCCUGGUAUGCGUAGUAGACUGUGGGAUCGUGAUGAAAUCAUGACAGUCUUAAAGGGUGAGAAGGGAACAAGACGUAUUGAAGGAAUUGUCCUAGACUUUCAAAGGAGGCCCAUUGUUCAGGAUGCAAGUGGUGAGAGAAUUUCUUGGGAAAACCUUCUAAGAACACCCAAUUUCACCUCUGCAUUAACUUAUGCGAAAGAAAGGUAUAAGAAAUUUCUUCAGGAUAAUGCUGAGAAAGAAAGAGAGGUAGUACUUUGCACUAAGCCAUUUGAAUCAAUGGUUAAUCUAAGACUUCUUCAAAUCAACCAUGUGAGAUUGGAAGGGAAGUAUAAAUAUCUUCCAGCUGGACUGAAGUGGCUACAGUGGAAAGGAUGUCCUUUGAAAGCUCUUCCUUCUGAAUUUCUUCCUCGAGAACUUUCUGUUCUUGAUCUCUCCGAAAGCAGAAUUGAGCAAGUGUGGGGUUGGUAUAGUAACAAUGUGGCUGAGAAGUUGAUGGUUAUUAAACUCCGCAAUUGCUACAAUCUAGCUGAUAUUCCCAAUUUAUCUGGGCACCAAAACUUGGAAAAGCUUGUUCUUGAAGGUUGCUGUAGACUUACUAAGAUUCAUGAAUCAAUUGGGAACAUAAGUACAUUACGUCAUUUGAACAUGAGAGAUUGUUCAAACCUUAUCGAAUUUCCUACUGAUAUCUCAGGGCUGAAACAUCUUGAAAACCUUGUCCUCUCUGGCUGCUCAAAGUUGAAAAGGUUACCAAAUGACCUACGUAGCUUGAAGUGUUUGAAAGAAUUUCUUCUUGACGAAACUGCUAUAGAGGAGCUGCCUACAUUCAUUUACCACCUAACAAAACUUGAAAAGCUUAGUUUGAAAAGAUGCCAAUUUUUGACAACACUACCUGAGUGCAUUGGACAUCUGUGCUCCCUGAAAGAACUCUCUCUUAAUCAUUCUGCUAUUAAGGAAAUACCUGAUUCUGUUGGAUCUUUAUCAGACCUUGAGAUACUAAGUUUGAUAGGGUGCAAAUCAUUCACCACAAUUCCUGAUUCUGUUGGCAAUCUCAAGUCUUUGACAGAACUUCUAAUUUAUGGUAGUGCAAUUGUAGUACUGCCUCCCUCUAUUGGCUCGUUAUCAUUUUUGAAGGUCAUCUGUUGGAAAAUGUCUGUCUCUGAUUGAAUUGCCUGAUUCAAUUGAAGGACUAGGUUCUCUGGUUGAGAUUAAUUUAGAUUGGACAUCAAUCACACAGCUACCAAAUCAGGUAGGUGAUUUGAAAAUGCUAAGGAAGCUUGAGAUGUGGAACUGUAAAAAUCUUAAAUUUUUACCAGAAUCAAUUGGAAGCAUGCUGGCUCUUAUGACUUUGAACAUAUCUAAUGCCAAAAUUUCUGAAUUGCCAGAAUCCAUAGGGAUGCUGGAAAAUCUUAUUACAUUAAGAUUGAGUAAUUGUACACAGCUCUAUAAACUUCCAGCAUCGAUAGGAAAUUUGAAGUCUUUACAGCGGUUGCUGAUGGGAGAAACUGCUGUGGCAGAAUUGCCUGAAAGCUUUGGGAAGCUCUCGAGCUUAAUGAUAUUAGAAAUGCCUAAGAAGCCUUAUUUUGAGUUACCUAGAAACAGUGUGCCUAAUUCUACAGUACUUCCAACUUCUUUCUCCAAUUUAUGCUCGCUAAAAGAACUAAAUGCUCGUGCUUGGAAACUAUGUGGGAAGAUUCCUGAUGAUUUUAAAAAGUUGUCAUCAUUGGAGAUUUUGAAUCUAGGCCACAAUAAUUUUUUCAGUCUCCCAUCCAGCUUGAUGGACCUUUCCAAGCUCAAAAAACUUUUAUUGCCCAACUGCGAAGAGCUCAAGUCUCUCCCUCCGCUUCCCUCAAGCUUGUUGGAGGUGAAUGUUGCAGACUGUCCUGCUUUGGAAAGGGUGUCUGAUCUUUCAAACUUGGAAAGCUUAGAGGAGCUGAACCUUACAAACUGUGAGAUGGUGGUGGAUAUUCCAGGCCUCGAAUGCUUGAAGUCCUUGAGAAGGUUGUACAUGAGUGGGUGCAAAACAUGCUCAUCUGUGGUUAAAAGAAGACUUUCUAAGGUUUCUUUGAGGAAUAUGUUCUCUCUUAGCAUGCCUGGAAGCAAAAUUCCAGAUUGGUUUUCUCAAGAGGUAGUUAAAUUUUCAGAACGCAAAAACCUUAGGAUCAAAGGUGUGAUAAUAGGUGUUAUUGUCUCUUUCAGCCAUCAAAUACCAGAUAACUUAAGAGAUCAAGACCCUUUACUAACAGGUAUACGAGCAAAUAUUGUCAAACUGAAUAGACCUGUGUUCAAUGCAAUGCUGGACAUAAAGGGAGUUCCAAAGACACAUGAAGACCAUCUUUACUUGUCUCGGUUUCCAGAUUGGCAUCCGUUAUCUUUUUCGUUGAAAGAUGAUUAUAAGAUACAUGUAACAAUAGACGACCCACCCUACAUUGAGGGACUCAAGCUGAAAAAGUGGGGGGUUCAUUUGGUUUUUGAAGGUGAUGAUGAUUAUGAUGGAAAUGAAGAAUCGUUGGAUGAAACCCAACUGUCCAUUUCUGAAAAACUAGCCAAGUUUUUCAGCUUUCUUGAAGAGGAAGAAGAUCACAUCCCCGAAUCAGGCUUUGAAGUUGAAAGCCAAGUGCAAGAGAUUGAGGAACAAGAAGAAAUUGAAAGAGAGCCUCAUUGGUGGCAAUUUUUGUGGCUUUUUCGAAGGUGCUUCUGCUUUUGAAGGAGGAGAAGCUACCUGCAAGGCUGCAGCCCCUUCGAAGUUGCAACCGAAGCAGAUACAACUUGAAGUCUAUCUUUAUUUUCUAUCUUUAUUUUCAGCUGUCAUUGUUAACUUUAUUUAUUAUUCUAUUACACAACCUGUUACACACUUUUUUUUUUAAUUGAAAUUGUGAGUUGAAGAUACAAUUUCCAACUUGAAAAUGUGUUUUCAACUCACAAUUUCAGUUGUUACACACUUUUUUGAUCUGAAAUUGUGAGUUAAAGAUACAAAUUUUGACUUGAGAUUGCCUUAUCAAUUUACAAUUUCAAUUAAAAAAGAAGUGUAAUAGUGUGUGUAAAACUGUGUAUAUAAUACCACUACGCACUCUUUUCAAUUUA
RNA transcript from Quercus lobata, 4847 nucleotides. It is a transcript of the gene named disease resistance protein TAO1-like, with no coding region annotated. Lineage: Eukaryota; Viridiplantae; Streptophyta; Magnoliopsida; Fagales; Fagaceae. The record is from RefSeq and is a predicted model, not a curated record. The transcript has 5 exons.